RNAcentral lists this long non-coding RNA (604 nucleotides) under Mus spicilegus (steppe mouse). Its description in RNAcentral is "lncRNA (ENSMSIG00000010635.1)". Lineage: Eukaryota; Metazoa; Chordata; Mammalia; Rodentia; Muridae. The record is from RNAcentral.
GUUGCCAGAUAACUGUGAGGUGGAACCUAGAAGGAAAGCCAACAGCUAGUCUUCCCUUGUUCCUCAUGGCAGUCAUGUCAGGGAACUAUUGUGUACAUGCCUAUCAUUACUAAGAGAAGCAAGUGAGGCCUUCAGUUUUGAGGAGCUUGUCUAAGAUCCUAAAUAGAAGGUGACGCGCAUGCGUGCUUAAGAAACGGUCUGGUCCUUGUCUGUUUCCGCUUCUUCCCGAGUCUUCUGCUAACCCUUCCAUCCCUACUGAUGCACAGGCUAUUUGUGGUAGAUCCUUGAAAGGACCCAGGAUGAGAUCUCUUCUUCUGUACAGUAGGCAGACUGUCUUGAAGGGACUUCGGAAUAACGACAGGUCCAGGAGAAAGAAAAGAAAGUAAAAGGAGUUGAAUUGCAUAGGCAAGAAACUCGUGCCAAGCUAAUGCUGCUGGUAGCAGACUUUUGUCCUGAAUCACUGCUAUAAUCCUAGACCCCUGGGGAUCUCUGAUGAGGAACUUCACUCAACUGUCCUGGGAGCCGAGUGGUGAGGCUACAACAUGAAGUGGAAAUCCAAGACCGCAUAGCUAGAAAUAAAUCCAAGUGACGAGUGACUUGUACA